ACCACCACCUGGACCAAGUGGUGCAAUAUCUCCUCCAGUUUCCCUUCGGAGACUGCGAGAGAGUAUGGAAGGAGGUUUUACCAUCGGCCGAUCCAGAACAACUGCUCAAUCUCAUGGCCGAGCAGAUUUACCAAAGCCCCUUGGCGGAAUCUGCCACCCAAGUGCAACAUCUCACCAGCCUGUGGCACGCCAUCCUCAGGAUGGAGGACUAC
This is a non-coding RNA of Podarcis muralis (Common wall lizard), 212 nucleotides long. The record is from RefSeq and is a predicted model, not a curated record. Lineage: Eukaryota; Metazoa; Chordata; Lepidosauria; Squamata; Lacertidae.